GCCUGGGUGGCUCAGUUGGUUGAGUGUCUGACUUCGGCUCAGGUCAUGAUCUUGCGGUUUGUGGGUUCGAGCUCCGCAUUGGGCU
This 85-nucleotide transfer RNA is filed under the name Felis catus (domestic cat). It matches the Rfam family "tRNA". From Rfam's summary of the family: Transfer RNA (tRNA) molecules are approximately 80 nucleotides in length. Their secondary structure includes four short double-helical elements and three loops (D, anti-codon, and T loops). Lineage: Eukaryota; Metazoa; Chordata; Mammalia; Carnivora; Felidae. The record is from Rfam by way of RNAcentral.